RNAcentral lists this transfer RNA (77 nucleotides) under Bdellovibrionales bacterium. RNAcentral describes it as "tRNA-Arg". It matches the Rfam family "tRNA". From Rfam's summary of the family: Transfer RNA (tRNA) molecules are approximately 80 nucleotides in length. Lineage: Bacteria; Pseudomonadati; Bdellovibrionota; Bdellovibrionia; Bdellovibrionales. The record is from RNAcentral.
GAUCCCGUAGCUCAGCUGGAUAGAGCAGGCGCCUUCUAAGCGUCAGGUCGCAGGUUCGACUCCUGCCGGGAUCGCCA